UUAAGCGACUAAGCGUACACGGUGGAUGCCCUGGCAGUCAGAGGCGAUGAAGGACGUGCUAAUCUGCGAUAAGCGUCGGUAAGGUGAUAUGAACCGUUAUAACCGGCGAUUUCCGAAUGGGGAAACCCAGUGUGUUUCGACACACUAUCAUUAACUGAAUCCAUAGGUUAAUGAGGCGAACCGGGGGAACUGAAACAUCUAAGUACCCCGAGGAAAAGAAAUCAACCGAGAUUCCCCCAGUAGCGGCGAGCGAACGGGGAGGAGCCCAGAGCCUGAAUCAGUGUGUGUGUUAGUGGAAGCGUCUGGAAAGGCGCGCGAUACAGGGUGACAGCCCCGUACACAAAAAUGCACAUGCUGUGAGCUCGAUGAGUAGGGCGGGACACGUGGUAUCCUGUCUGAAUAUGGGGGGACCAUCCUCCAAGGCUAAAUACUCCUGACUGACCGAUAGUGAACCAGUACCGUGAGGGAAAGGCGAAAAGAACCCCGGCGAGGGGAGUGAAAAAGAACCUGAAACCGUGUACGUACAAGCAGUGGGAGCCUCUUAAUGGGGUGACUGCGUACCUUUUGUAUAAUGGGUCAGCGACUUAUAUUCUGUAGCAAGGUUAACCGAAUAGGGGAGCCGAAGGGAAACCGAGUCUUAACUGGGCGUUAAGUUGCAGGGUAUAGACCCGAAACCCGGUGAUCUAGCCAUGGGCAGGUUGAAGGUUGGGUAACACUAACUGGAGGACCGAACCGACUAAUGUUGAAAAAUUAGCGGAUGACUUGUGGCUGGGGGUGAAAGGCCAAUCAAACCGGGAGAUAGCUGGUUCUCCCCGAAAGCUAUUUAGGUAGCGCCUCGUGAAUUCAUCUCCGGGGGUAGAGCACUGUUUCGGCAAGGGGGUCAUCCCGACUUACCAACCCGAUGCAAACUGCGAAUACCGGAGAAUGUUAUCACGGGAGACACACGGCGGGUGCUAACGUCCGUCGUGAAGAGGGAAACAACCCAGACCGCCAGCUAAGGUCCCAAAGUCAUGGUUAAGUGGGAAACGAUGUGGGAAGGCCCAGACAGCCAGGAUGUUGGCUUAGAAGCAGCCAUCAUUUAAAGAAAGCGUAAUAGCUCACUGGUCGAGUCGGCCUGCGCGGAAGAUGUAACGGGGCUAAACCAUGCACCGAAGCUGCGGCAGCGACACUAUGUGUUGUUGGGUAGGGGAGCGUUCUGUAAGCCUGUGAAGGUGGCCUGUGAGGGUUGCUGGAGGUAUCAGAAGUGCGAAUGCUGACAUAAGUAACGAUAAAGCGGGUGAAAAGCCCGCUCGCCGGAAGACCAAGGGUUCCUGUCCAACGUUAAUCGGGGCAGGGUGAGUCGACCCCUAAGGCGAGGCCGAAAGGCGUAGUCGAUGGGAAACAGGUUAAUAUUCCUGUACUUGGUGUUACUGCGAAGGGGGGACGGAGAAGGCUAUGUUGGCCGGGCGACGGUUGUCCCGGUUUAAGCGUGUAGGCUGGUUUUCCAGGCAAAUCCGGAAAAUCAAGGCUGAGGCGUGAUGACGAGGCACUACGGUGCUGAAGUGACAAAUGCCCUGCUUCCAGGAAAAGCCUCUAAGCAUCAGGUAACAUCAAAUCGUACCCCAAACCGACACAGGUGGUCAGGUAGAGAAUACCAAGGCGCUUGAGAGAACUCGGGUGAAGGAACUAGGCAAAAUGGUGCCGUAACUUCGGGAGAAGGCACGCUGAUAUGUAGGUGAAGCGACUUGCUCGUGGAGCUGAAAUCAGUCGAAGAUACCAGCUGGCUGCAACUGUUUAUUAAAAACACAGCACUGUGCAAACACGAAAGUGGACGUAUACGGUGUGACGCCUGCCCGGUGCCGGAAGGUUAAUUGAUGGGGUUAGCGGUAACGCGAAGCUCUUGAUCGAAGCCCCGGUAAACGGCGGCCGUAACUAUAACGGUCCUAAGGUAGCGAAAUUCCUUGUCGGGUAAGUUCCGACCUGCACGAAUGGCGUAAUGAUGGCCAGGCUGUCUCCACCCGAGACUCAGUGAAAUUGAACUCGCUGUGAAGAUGCAGUGUACCCGCGGCAAGACGGAAAGACCCCGUGAACCUUUACUAUAGCUUGACACUGAACAUUGAGCCUUGAUGUGUAGGAUAGGUGGGAGGCUUUGAAGUGUGGACGCCAGUCUGCAUGGAGCCGACCUUGAAAUACCACCCUUUAAUGUUUGAUGUUCUAACGUUGGCCCGUAAUCCGGGUUGCGGACAGUGUCUGGUGGGUAGUUUGACUGGGGCGGUCUCCUCCUAAAGAGUAACGGAGGAGCACGAAGGUUGGCUAAUCCUGGUCGGACAUCAGGAGGUUAGUGCAAUGGCAUAAGCCAGCUUGACUGCGAGCGUGACGGCGCGAGCAGGUGCGAAAGCAGGUCAUAGUGAUCCGGUGGUUCUGAAUGGAAGGGCCAUCGCUCAACGGAUAAAAGGUACUCCGGGGAUAACAGGCUGAUACCGCCCAAGAGUUCAUAUCGACGGCGGUGUUUGGCACCUCGAUGUCGGCUCAUCACAUCCUGGGGCUGAAGUAGGUCCCAAGGGUAUGGCUGUUCGCCAUUUAAAGUGGUACGCGAGCUGGGUUUAGAACGUCGUGAGACAGUUCGGUCCCUAUCUGCCGUGGGCGCUGGAGAACUGAGGGGGGCUGCUCCUAGUACGAGAGGACCGGAGUGGACGCAUCACUGGUGUUCGGGUUGUCAUGCCAAUGGCACUGCCCGGUAGCUAAAUGCGGAAGAGAUAAGUGCUGAAAGCAUCUAAGCACGAAACUUGCCCCGAGAUGAGUUCUCCCUGACUCCUUGAGAGUCCUGAAGGAACGUUGAAGACGACGACGUUGAUAGGCCGGGUGUGUAAGCGCAGCGAUGCGUUGAGCUAACCGGUACUAAUGAACCGUGAGGCUUAACCUU
This 2902-nucleotide ribosomal RNA is filed under the name Escherichia coli HVH 70 (4-2963531). RNAcentral's name for it is "bacterial LSU rRNA". It matches the Rfam family "Bacterial large subunit ribosomal RNA". Lineage: Bacteria; Pseudomonadati; Pseudomonadota; Gammaproteobacteria; Enterobacterales; Enterobacteriaceae. The record is from RNAcentral. RNAcentral also lists the same sequence under 1 other name.